GCAAGUCGAACGCGAAAGUUCCUUCGGGAGCGAGUAGAGUGGCGGACGGGUGAGUAACUCGUGGGAAUAUGCCUAGCAGUGGGGGAUAACAAUCGGAAACGGUUGCUAAUACCGCAUACGCCCUACGGGGGAAAGGCUUCGGCCGCUAUUAGAUGAGCCCGCGUCAGAUUAGCUUGUUGGUAGGGUAAUGGCCUACCAAGGCAACGAUCUGUAGCUGGUCUGAGAGGACGAUC
This 233-nucleotide ribosomal RNA is filed under the name uncultured bacterium. Its description in RNAcentral is "partial 16S ribosomal RNA". It matches the Rfam family "Bacterial small subunit ribosomal RNA", at positions 57 to 305 of the family's 1533-position model. The record is from RNAcentral.